RNAcentral lists this ribosomal RNA (303 nucleotides) under Vibrio splendidus 12B01. RNAcentral describes it as "partial 16S ribosomal RNA". It matches the Rfam family "Bacterial small subunit ribosomal RNA", at positions 1233 to 1533 of the family's 1533-position model. Lineage: Bacteria; Pseudomonadati; Pseudomonadota; Gammaproteobacteria; Vibrionales; Vibrionaceae. The record is from RNAcentral.
GCGCAUACAGAGGGCAGCAAGCUAGCGAUAGUGAGCGAAUCCCAAAAAGUGCGUCGUAGUCCGGAUUGGAGUCUGCAACUCGACUCCAUGAAGUCGGAAUCGCUAGUAAUCGUGAAUCAGAAUGUCACGGUGAAUACGUUCCCGGGCCUUGUACACACCGCCCGUCACACCAUGGGAGUGGGCUGCAAAAGAAGUGGGUAGUUUAACCUUUCGGGGAGGACGCUCACCACUUUGUGGUUCAUGACUGGGGUGAAGUCGUAACAAGGUAGCCCUAGGGGAACCUGGGGCUGGAUCACCUCCUUA